This 951-nucleotide ribosomal RNA is filed under the name uncultured marine bacterium. Its description in RNAcentral is "bacterial SSU rRNA". It matches the Rfam family "Bacterial small subunit ribosomal RNA", at positions 56 to 1011 of the family's 1533-position model. The record is from RNAcentral.
UGCAAGUCGAGCGAAGCUUUUCAGUAGUUUACUACAGAAAAUGACUGAGCGGCGAACGGGUGAGUAACGCGUGAGCAAUCUACCUUAGUUACAGGGAUAGCCCGAGGAAACUCGGAUUAAUACCUGAUAUUCUUUAUAUUUCGCAUGAAAUUAAAAGGAAAGGUCAGCCGAACUAAGACGAGCUCGCGUUCUAUCAGCUAGUUGGUGAGGUAAAAGCUUACCAAGGCUACGACGGAUAGCUGGUCUGAGAGGACGAUCAGCCACACUGGGACUGAGACACGGCCCAGACUCCUACGGGAGGCUGCAGCAGGGAAUAUUGUGCAAUGAACGAAAGUUUGACACAGCGACACCGCGUGUGGGAUGACGGAUCUAGGUUUGUAAACCACUUUCAGGAGGGAAGAAAAUGACGGUACCUCCACAAGAAGCCCCGGCCAACUACGUGCCAGCAGCCGCGGUAAUACGUAGGGGGCGAGCGUUGUCCGGAUUUAUUGGGCGUAAAGAGCUCGUAGGCGGUUCAACAAGUCGUUCGUGAAAGUUCAGGGCUCAACCCUGAAAUGUCGAUCGAUACUGUUGUGACUAGGAUACGGUAGAGGUGAGUGGAAUUCCGAGUGUAGCGGUGAAAUGCGUAGAUAUUCGGAGGAACACCAAUUGCGAAGGCAGCUCACUGGGCCGCUAUCGACGCUGAGGAGCGAAAGCUAGGGGAGCAAACAGGAUUAGAUACCCUGGUAGUCCUAGCUGUAAACGAUGGAUACUAGACGUAGGAACUGGAUUGACGGUUUCUGUGUCGCAGCUAACGCGUUAAGUAUCCCGCCUGGGGAGUACGGUCGCAAGACUAAAACUCAAAGGAAUUGACGGGACCCCGCACAAGCGGCGGAGCAUGCGGCUUAAUUCGAUGAUACCCGUAGAACCUUACCUGGACUUGACAUAUAGGGUCUAGCUAUAGAGAUAUAG